This 72-nucleotide transfer RNA is filed under the name Odocoileus virginianus texanus. It matches the Rfam family "tRNA". Rfam says of the family: Transfer RNA (tRNA) molecules are approximately 80 nucleotides in length. Lineage: Eukaryota; Metazoa; Chordata; Mammalia; Artiodactyla; Cervidae. RNAcentral also lists the same sequence under 7 other names. The record is from Rfam by way of RNAcentral.
UCCCUGGUGGCUCAGAUGGUAAAGCGUCUGCCUGCAAUGCAGGAGACCCAGGUUCGAUCCCUGGGUCGGGAA